GCCUGGGGGUAUGGGCCACAGGCUUCGGGGAGGAAGCUGUCGCUAAGCUGGGAUGGGAGAGAUGCCGCUGGAGUUCUCGGGGACUGGGAGAGCCGCGGUGCUGGUCAAGGAGCGCGAAGGGCCGGGGAGCCUGCGGGAGGCCUGCUCCUGCUGCCCACCCCAUACUCCUGGGAGGGGCCACCUGGACCAGCCAGUUCUGGUCGUCAUCCGGACGAUGCCCAUCCCUCCAUGUCCAGCACCAGGAUCUGUCUGCUGUGCCUCCCUGAGGUGAGUAGCCUUCCUGCUCUCGAGUUGUCUCCAGUCUCGUCGACCUGAGACCUGCUCCCGCCCACUGCAGCC
This 339-nucleotide long non-coding RNA is filed under the name Dasypus novemcinctus (nine-banded armadillo). RNAcentral describes it as "lncRNA (ENSDNOG00000051990.1)". The record is from RNAcentral. Lineage: Eukaryota; Metazoa; Chordata; Mammalia; Cingulata; Dasypodidae.